CUUGGUCAUUUAGAGGAAGUAAAAGUCGUAACAAGGUUUCCGUAGGUGAACUGCGGAAGGAUCAUUAUUGAACUUUGAAUACUUGUGGCUUCGAGCUGUUGCUGGCCUCCUAACAAGAGGCAUGUGCACGCUUGGG
This 136-nucleotide ribosomal RNA is filed under the name Rhodotus palmatus. RNAcentral describes it as "partial 18S ribosomal RNA". The stretch from base 1 to 67 matches the Rfam family "Eukaryotic small subunit ribosomal RNA", at positions 1764 to 1831 of the family's 1831-position model. Lineage: Eukaryota; Fungi; Basidiomycota; Agaricomycetes; Agaricales; Physalacriaceae. The record is from RNAcentral.